Molecule: ribosomal RNA, 1757 nt
Filed under: Saccharum spontaneum (wild sugarcane)
Lineage: Eukaryota; Viridiplantae; Streptophyta; Magnoliopsida; Poales; Poaceae
Description: SSU rRNA
Rfam family: Eukaryotic small subunit ribosomal RNA (bases 401-1757)
Source: RNAcentral
CCACCCAUGGGGCCCCUAUAAGAAAAGUCCAAGGUUCGGUCCAUCCGCGAAAAACAAUGACUCUCCGGCGCCUCCAGAAACUAGCAUUUCUGAGCAAAAACCUAGCAAAACUGCAUAUCACAUGAAUUUCCUGAGGUCCUCCAAAACCGUAUAGAAACCAUAUAGAAAACUGCCAUAAUUUGUAGGAGUGGGAUGCCCCUCAGGUAUAGUAGGGGGUGAGGGUUUAGCUGGCUGAGACCUCAGGUAAACUACUGCAAAACCACUAGUUUUUUGCCAUACCCGCUUAGGAGGCUCCACCAUACCUUGAUCACGCCCCUCAGCCUCUGUGGUCGGCCGACAGCCUACCAUGGCCCCCUUCGGCUAGCUACCGGCCGCCAUGGCUGGCCAGUGUGCAACCAUGACCUAGCUAUGGCUAUGGUUUGUUGGCUUGAUGCCUUGGACGUGUGGCUGCACGCUUUUGGACCGUUGUUGGUGAAGUUUUGGUGACUCACAGCCUACACGGGCUGCUACGGGCAAGUCUGGUGCCAGCAGCCACGAUAAUUUCAGCUCCAAUAGCGUAUAUUUAAGUUGUUACAGUUAAAAAGCUCAUAGGGACCUUGGGUCGGGUCGGCCGGUCCGCCUCACAGUGAGAACCGACCUACUCGACCCUUCUGCCAGCGAUGCACUUCUGGCCUUAAUUGGUCGGGUCAUGCCUCUAGCGACAUUACUUUGAAGAAAUUAGAGUGCUCAAAGCAAGCCAACGCUCUGGAUACAUUAGCAUGGGAUAACAUCAGAGGACUCUGGUCCUAUUGUGUUGGCCUUUGGGAUUGAAGUAAUGAUUAAUAGGGAUAGUUGGGGGCAUUCGUAUUUCAUAGUUAGAGGUGAAAUUCUUGGAUUUAUGAAAGACGAACAACUGUGGAAGCAUUUGUCAAGGAUGUUUUCAUUAAUCAAGAACAAAAGUUGGGGCUCAAAGCGACCAGAUACCAUCCUAGGCUCAACCAUAAACGAUGCCAACCAGGGAUAGGCGGAUGUUGCUUAUAGGACUACGCCGGCACCCUAUGAGAAAUCAAAGUCUUUGGAUUCCGGUGGGAGUAUGGUCGCAAGGCUGAAACUUUAAGGAAUUGACGAAAGGGCACCACCAGGCAUAGAGCCUGCGGCUUAAUUUGACACAACACGAGAAAACUUAUCAUGUCCAGACAUAGCAAGGAUUGACAGACUGAGAGCUCUUUCUUGAUUCUAUGGGUGGUGGUGCAUGACCGUUCUUAGUUGGUGGAGAGAUUUGUCUAGUUAAUUUCAUUAAUGAGUGAAAACUCAGCCUACUAACUAGCUAUGCGGAGCCAUCCCUCCUAUAGCUAGCUUCUUAGAGGGGCAAUGGACGUUUAGGCCACGAGAGUUUGAUGCAAUAAUAGGUCUAUGAUGGCCUUAGAUGUUCUGGGCCGCACGUGCUCCACACUGAUGUAUUCAAUGAGUAUAUAGCCUUAGCUGACAAGUCCGGGUAAUCUUGGGAAAUUUCAUCAUAAUAGGGAUAGAUCAUUGCAAUUGUUGGUCUUCAACGAGGAAUGCCUAGUAAGCACGAGUCAUCUGCUCGUGUUGACUAUGUCCCUGCCCUUUGUACACACUGUCCGUCGCUCCUAUUGAUUGAAUGGUCCAGUGAAGUGUUUGGAUCACGGCGAGGGAGGUAGUUCACCACCCCUGACAUCACAAGAAGUCCAUUGAACCUUAUCAUUUAGAGAAAGGGAGAAGUUGUAACAAGGUUUUCGUAGGUGAACCUGCAGAAG